UACGGGGGGAGCAAGCGUUGUUCGGAUUUACUGGGCGUAAAGAGCGUGUAGGCGGCCAGAUAGGUCUGCUGUGAAAACUCGAGGCUCAACCUCGAGAUGUCGGCGGAAACCAUUUGGCUAGAGUCCGGAAGAGGAAAGUGGAAUUCCUGGUGUAGCGGUGAAAUGCGCAGAUAUCAGGAAGAACACCCGUGGCGAAGGCGGCUUUCUGGGACGGUACUGACGCUGAGACGCGAAAGCGUGGGGAGCGAACAGG
This 253-nucleotide ribosomal RNA is filed under the name uncultured bacterium. Its description in RNAcentral is "partial 16S ribosomal RNA". It matches the Rfam family "Bacterial small subunit ribosomal RNA", at positions 524 to 776 of the family's 1533-position model. The record is from RNAcentral.